ACUCCUACGGGAGGCAGCAGUGGGGAAUUUUGGACAAUGGGCGAAAGCCUGAUCCAGCAAUGCCGCGUGAGUGAAGAAGGCCUUCGGGUUGUAAAGCUCUUUUGUCAGGGAAGAAACGGUGAGAGCUAAUAUCUCUUGCUAAUGACGGUACCUGAAGAAUAAGCACCGGCUAACUCCGUGCCAGCAGCCGCGGUACUACGUAGGGUGCAAGCGUUAAUCGGAAUUACUGGGCGUAAAGCGUGCGCAGGCGGUUUUGUAAGUCUGAUGUGAAAUCCCCGGGCUCAACCUGGGAAUUGCAUUGGAGACUGCAAGGCUAGAAUCUGGCAGAGGGGGGUAGAAUUCCACGUGUAGCAGUGAAUUGCGUAGAUAUGUGGAGGAACACCGAUGGCGAAGGCAGCCCCCUGGGUCAAGAUUGACGCUCAUUCACGAAAGCGUGGGGAGCAAACAGGAUUAGAUACCCCAGUAGUCCCAUGA
This 474-nucleotide ribosomal RNA is filed under the name uncultured organism. Its description in RNAcentral is "partial 16S ribosomal RNA". It matches the Rfam family "Bacterial small subunit ribosomal RNA", at positions 335 to 800 of the family's 1533-position model. The record is from RNAcentral.